GACGCGGAGAGUGUAUAUGACGUAAUACGAUGGUGGCCGAAACCACGUGACUCGCUGCAUGCUGAAAUGUCAAGCCACGAAAAUAUUGAGCUUAAAAAUGGGAUGUUCCGAAGUGGGUAUGAAAAAAGUGGGUUAUCUGCUGCGCAAUCGAGAGUCAGAGCCGUUGUACAAAUAAAUGUAAUGACAGAAUCUUUGUUCGGAUGUCUCGAAAUUAAACUUUACUCAAGGGAAUCGUGACAGAAGACCUCAGAAACUCUUGGAUGAAGGUUUCGCAGCAAAAUCUUCCCUGGACAGCAACAGCACUGAUGCCCUUUGCUGCGCGACCGACAUUAAUUUGUAGGAAGUCAUCAUUCGUGGUUGAAAGAAUACAAAAAUAUUUGGAAGGGCCAGAUCUGUUCAAUCGAGAGCUGGGAAGAUUGCCUGAAUCUGUUGACGCUUCAAUAUUUCGCAAAGGAAUAUUGUAGUUCUCCAUUCCAAGAGGAUCGCCACAUUCUUGAAGGCAUACUGGUAUCAUACUAGUAUUUACUGCAUAAGGGAAUUCAAUAUAACCAAUCAACCCCAAAGAUGAAAUGGUACAACAGCAAAAAAAAGAAAAAAACACACCUUGCACACCAAGCUCCCCCGAAGUCUGAGGAACCCAACCUAGCCAUCCACGGCGGGUAAUUGCCACUUAUCGACGAGGAAGCGGUCAUGGCAGUUUUAGGUAUUUUCCAGUCGGAUACUCCAACCAUGUCUUCGCAAUCUGCAACAAUGUUGGGGUGUACUUUAGCUUCGUUAAGCAACGAUAAUUUUAGCCAAACACCACUAAAGCUGAUGGAAUACAACCUUCUCUACUGCAACACAUAACAUAGCGCGUAACAUGAUAAGCAUGUUACAAAACACGUAACUCAUCCCUGGUACAUAGCACGUAACAUGACAACCAUCCUACAUAACACGACAAAAAACACCCAAAAUGGAUAAAAACCAUGGGCUAUAAUCCAUGCUUUUUGACCAAAAUAGGCCAAACAUGACCCUUUUCAUAAUUGAAUUAUUUUUUCAGAUAAUUGAAAAAAUACCCAAAAUGAAAGAAAACCAUGGGCUAUGACCUAAACAUCACCCUUUUCCAUAUUAGGAUAAUUUUUGAUUAAGUCUAAAACCACCCAAAAUGGAUAAAAACCAUGGUGCAUGCUUUUUGCUCAAAAUAGUCCAAACA
Molecule: long non-coding RNA, 1192 nt
Organism: Actinia tenebrosa (Australian red waratah sea anemone)
Lineage: Eukaryota; Metazoa; Cnidaria; Anthozoa; Actiniaria; Actiniidae
Source: RefSeq, a predicted model, not a curated record